RNAcentral lists this ribosomal RNA (447 nucleotides) under uncultured Oscillospiraceae bacterium. Its description in RNAcentral is "bacterial SSU rRNA". It matches the Rfam family "Bacterial small subunit ribosomal RNA", at positions 335 to 796 of the family's 1533-position model. Lineage: Bacteria; Bacillati; Bacillota; Clostridia; Eubacteriales; Oscillospiraceae. The record is from RNAcentral.
GGUCCUACGGGAGGCUGCAGUGGGGAAUAUUGGGCAAUGGGCGAAAGCCUGACCCAGCGACGCCGCGUGAGGGAAGAAGGUCUUCGGAUUGUAAACCUUUGUCAACAGGGACGAAAAAAAUGACGGUACCUGUGAAGGAAGCCACGGCUAACUACGUGCCAGCAGCCGCGGUAAUACGUAGGUGGCGAGCGUUAUCCGGAAUUACUGGGUGUAAAGGGUGAGUAGGCGGGGAUACAAGUCAGAUGUGAAAUGCAAAGGCUUAACCUUUGAAUUGCAUUUGAAACUGUAUUUCUUGAGAGUCGGAGAGGUAAUCGGAAUUCCUAGUGUAGCGGUGAAAUGCGUAGAUAUUAGGAGGAACACCAGUGGCGAAGGCGGAUUACUGGACGACAACUGACGCUGAGACACGAAAGCGUGGGGAGCAAACAGGAUUAGAUACCCUGGUAGUCC